This 252-nucleotide ribosomal RNA is filed under the name uncultured bacterium. Its description in RNAcentral is "partial 16S ribosomal RNA". It matches the Rfam family "Bacterial small subunit ribosomal RNA", at positions 524 to 776 of the family's 1533-position model. RNAcentral also lists the same sequence under 1 other name. The record is from RNAcentral.
UACGUAGGGUGCAAGCGUUGUCCGGAUUUAUUGGGCGUAAAGGGCUCGUAGGCGGUUUGUUGCGUCUGGUGUGAAAGCUUACUGCUUAACGGUAGGUUGCGCUGGAUACGGGCAGGCUUGAGUGCAGUAGGGGAGACUGGAAUUCUCGGUGUAACGGUGGAAUGUGUAGAUAUCGGGAAGAACACCUAUGGCGAAGGCAGGUCUCUGGGCUGUUACUGACGCUGAGGAGCGAAAGCGUGGGGAGCGAACAGG